GAAAAGGGAAGAAAUGGCUUAAGCUCGCUGAAGAAGAGGCGCCAGAUUGUAGUAAGGAGGCGGCAGCUGAAGUUCCAGCUGCCAUAUGAGUUGCUUCCAUAGGAAGAGGAUGGUCGUGAUUUCCUUCGUACGUCGUCAUAUAAGCGGAUGUAUCAUCUUCUCCGCAUCUUUGCACCUACAUAAAUACAUUCUAAUUCAUAUUAAUAUUCAGGAUAUAACUCCUUGUCAUUUCACACAGAUGUAGUGACCGACCAUGAUCAAAAUCGCAGUGGGAGGACUCUCUAGUCCUUUAACUUUAGGUGAACCCUCCAAUCACUGGAUCAACAUGAAAUGGUCUACACAGUCCCAUUUUUUGUAAGAUUAAAACCAAGUUACCUAAACCGGUUUA
This 388-nucleotide long non-coding RNA is filed under the name Brassica rapa (field mustard). RNAcentral describes it as "long non-coding RNA (BRAP_LNC001026)". Lineage: Eukaryota; Viridiplantae; Streptophyta; Magnoliopsida; Brassicales; Brassicaceae. The record is from RNAcentral.